GCGAGAAACCUUUACAAUGUGCGAAAGCAUGAUAAGGGAACUCCGAGUGCCAGUAUCUAAUACUGGCUGUCCUUGUGCCUAAAACGCACAAGAUAGCAAGGGCCGGGUAAGACCGGUGCCAGCCGCCGCGGUAACACCGGCGGCCCGAGUGGUAGCCGCUAUUAUUGGGUCUAAAGGGUCCGUAGCCGGUUCGAUAAGUCCUCUGGGAAAUCUGGUUGCUUAACAAUCAGACUGCCAAGGGAUACUGUCGAACUUGAGACCGGGAGAGGUAAGAGGUACUUCAGGGGUAGGA
Molecule: ribosomal RNA, 292 nt
Filed under: uncultured archaeon
Lineage: Archaea
Description: partial 16S ribosomal RNA
Rfam family: Archaeal small subunit ribosomal RNA
Source: RNAcentral